RNAcentral lists this unclassified non-coding RNA (197 nucleotides) under uncultured Agaricomycetes. RNAcentral describes it as "sequence contains ITS2". Lineage: Eukaryota; Fungi; Basidiomycota; Agaricomycetes. The record is from RNAcentral.
AAUUCUCUCAAAUCUAAUCCCUUUGCUGGGUGUUAGACUUGGAUGUGAGGGUUGCCGGUUCUUAUUGGAAUCAGCUCCCUUUAAAUGCAUUAGUAGAGCUAUUCUCGUUUGGUGUUUGAUAGUCUAUCAGUGCCAAUUUUUAGAGUCUUAGUUUUUCUGCUUACAACCCUCUUCGUCUUAAGACGAUGAUUUUGACU